Molecule: ribosomal RNA, 466 nt
Filed under: uncultured Curtobacterium sp.
Lineage: Bacteria; Bacillati; Actinomycetota; Actinomycetes; Micrococcales; Microbacteriaceae
Description: bacterial SSU rRNA
Rfam family: Bacterial small subunit ribosomal RNA
Source: RNAcentral
GACGGGGCCGCACAAGCGGCGGAGCAUGCGAUUAAUCGAUGCAACGCGAAGAACCUUACCAAGGCUUGACAUACACCGGUAACGCCCAGAGAUGGGUGCCCCUUUGUGGUCGGUGGACAGGUGGUGCAUGGUUGUCGUCAGCUCGUGUCGUGAGAUGUUGGGUUAAGUCCCGCAACGAGCGCAACCCUCGUCCUAUGUUGCCAGCGGGUCAUGCCGGGGACUCAUGGGAGACUGCCGGGGUCAACUCGGAGGAAGGUGGGGAUGACGUCAAAUCAUCAUGCCCCUUAUGUCUUGGGCUUCACGCAUGCUACAAUGGCCGGUACAAAGGGCUGCGAUACCGCGAGGUGGAGCGAAUCCCAGAAAGCCGGUCUCAGUUCGGAUUGGGGUCUGCAACUCGACCCCAUGAAGUCGGAGUCGCUAGUAAUCGCAGAUCAGCAACGCUGCGGUGAAUACGUUCCCGGGCCUU